Molecule: ribosomal RNA, 257 nt
Filed under: uncultured Pseudomonas sp.
Lineage: Bacteria; Pseudomonadati; Pseudomonadota; Gammaproteobacteria; Pseudomonadales; Pseudomonadaceae
Description: partial 16S ribosomal RNA
Rfam family: Bacterial small subunit ribosomal RNA
Source: RNAcentral
GGUGGGCACUCUAAGGAGGACUGCCGGUGACAAACCGGAGGAAGGUGGGGAUGACGUCAAGUCAUCAUGGCCCUUACGGCCUGGGCUACACACGUGCUACAAUGGUCGGUACGAAAGGGUUGCCAAGGCCGCGAGGUGGAAGCUAAUCCCAUAAAACCGAUCGUAGUCCGGAUCGCAGUCUGCAACUCGACUGCGUGAAGUCGGAAUCGCUAGUAAUCGUGAAUCAGAAUGUCACGGUGAAUACGUUCCCGGGCCUU